UCCAUUGUUGUUCUUCUUCUUCUCUCGCUGAGCUUUACCGGAAACAAU
RNAcentral lists this small RNA (48 nucleotides) under Arabidopsis thaliana (thale cress). RNAcentral describes it as "ATSL128850". The record is from RNAcentral. Lineage: Eukaryota; Viridiplantae; Streptophyta; Magnoliopsida; Brassicales; Brassicaceae.